GGUCUAUUAGUCUAGUUGGUUAGGACGUCGGACUCUGAUUCGUCAUCAGCCCUUCCGUAAGCCCAGGUUCGAAUCCUGGAUGGAUCU
This 87-nucleotide transfer RNA is filed under the name Colletotrichum orbiculare MAFF 240422. RNAcentral describes it as "tRNA-Gln for anticodon CUG". It matches the Rfam family "tRNA". Rfam says of the family: Transfer RNA (tRNA) molecules are approximately 80 nucleotides in length. Their secondary structure includes four short double-helical elements and three loops (D, anti-codon, and T loops). Lineage: Eukaryota; Fungi; Ascomycota; Sordariomycetes; Glomerellales; Glomerellaceae. The record is from Rfam by way of RNAcentral.